GAUGAACGCUAGCGGGAGGCCUAACACAUGCAAGCCGAGCGGUAGAGUCUCUUCUUAGACUUGAGAGCGGCGCACGGGUGCGGAACACGUGUGCAACCUGCCUUUAUCUGGGUGAUAGCCUUUCGAAAGGAAGAUUAAUACCCCAUAAUAUACUGCAUGGCAUCAUCUGGUAUUGAAAACUCCGGUGGAUAGAGAUGGGCACGCGCAAGAUUAGAUAGUUGGUGAGGGAACGGCUCACCAAGUCAGCGAUCUUUAGGGGGCCUGAGAGGGUGAUCCCCCACACUGGGACUGGGACACGGACCAGACUGCUACGGGAGGCAGCAGUGAGGAAUAUUGGACAAGGGGUGAGAGCCUGAUCCAGCCAUCCCGCGUGAAGGACGACGGCCCUAGGGGUUGUAAACUUCUUUUGUAUAGGGAUAAACCUAGAUACGUGUAUCUAGCUGAAGGUACUAUACGAAUAAGCACCGGCUAACUCCGUG
Molecule: ribosomal RNA, 479 nt
Filed under: uncultured bacterium
Lineage: Bacteria
Description: partial 16S ribosomal RNA
Rfam family: Bacterial small subunit ribosomal RNA
Source: RNAcentral